CUGAAAUGUUUAUUAUCUGUUUUAAAAGAAAUGUUUUAUUGUUAGAAAAGUGAAUUUAUUUCACACCUUAUGUUCUUGUUCUUUCUGCUUCUGUGGGAUGAUGGAUAAAGGUGGAAGGCUACAGAUCAGACUCCCUGAGGCUGUUGCAAGAGGCUCUACAGAUGAACCAAAGUGAAACCAGCCCUUCCUCCCCCAGUCCCACCCACGGUGAAAUGGGCCCUGCUUCUGCUGGUCCUGAAUCUGCUGCUGCUGAAGUGUGGGAGGAGCAGCCGGCCUUGUCAGAGGAACCAGUGACCGGUGGAGAUGAGCUCAGCGGACUGGAGACGGCCCUCAAGGCAGAGCGCGAACGUGAGGAAGCGGAGUCUGGCCUGGGCAGCCCGUCUCAGGAGACGUGUGGAUCUGAAGGCGUGGCGUUCAUCGGACUUGACGGUUUAUGUAGCUCUCAGCAGGCAAUGUCGUCCUCGUCACAUAGAGCAGACCCUGCUGAACUACAACUCCCAUCAGCCCCUAGCAACAAAGAAGAGGAAGAGGAGU
Molecule: long non-coding RNA, 534 nt
Filed under: Sinocyclocheilus anshuiensis
Lineage: Eukaryota; Metazoa; Chordata; Actinopteri; Cypriniformes; Cyprinidae
Description: lncRNA (ENSSANG00000018730.1)
Source: RNAcentral